UACGGGGGGAGCAAGCGUUGUUCGGAUUUACUGGGCGUAAAGGGCGCGUAGGCGGCCACCGCAAGUCGACUGUGAAAUCUCCGGGCUUAACCCGGAAAGGUCAGCCGAUACUGCGGGGCUAGAGUGCAGAAGGGGCAACUGGAAUUCUCGGUGGUAGCGGUGAAAUGCGUAGAUAUCGAGAGGAACACCUGCGGCGAAGGCGGGUUGCUGGGCUGACACGUGACGCUGGAGGCGCGAAAGCUAGGGGAGCGAACGGGA
RNAcentral lists this ribosomal RNA (258 nucleotides) under uncultured bacterium. RNAcentral's name for it is "partial 16S ribosomal RNA". It matches the Rfam family "Bacterial small subunit ribosomal RNA", at positions 524 to 777 of the family's 1533-position model. The record is from RNAcentral.